UCAGGACUUGAACUUUGGUGGGCAGGCUUUAGCUCUAAAGUUCUUCUAUACCAAAGCUGUGUCAACAUUAAAGCUGGGACUGGACUUCCAAUCUGAGGACCCAGAAGAGUCAGCAUAUCCUACUUAACUUCUAAGGGAAUCUGCCUCUUGGGACCCAGCUGCCACACUGUAAGGAAGUCCAGAGCGGGCGUGAGAGGCUGCAUGGAGGCGAACUGAGCGUCCCACUGAGCUACCAGCCGAAUGCAGCCACAGGAGUGACCCCAGCAGAUGCCACAUGGAAUGGAAAAACAACCAACCCAGUCAAGGCACUGGAUCUCGAGGAACUAUAAAAGUUGUUUUAAGGCACUAUUUUGCAGAUGUCUUAUUACAUAUGAGAAUAUCCACUGACAUGAUGUGUUAGUCACACUGUUGGAGGAGAAUAUGAGAAAUAUCCAUGGAUCAGUUCCCCUAAGUGAACCCUCUAAUAUUCCUGAGGCAAAAAAAAAAUCUACUGUUAGCAGAAUUCAAUACAGCUUACCUCUCCAAAAAUCUACUGUUAGCAGAAUUCAAUACAGCUUACCUCUCCUGUGGAGACCUUUGUUUUAGCCUCACACAUCCUUGGAGAAAAAAAGAAUUCAACUUUACAGAAAAAUAGCAAAAUAGGAGAACUCUUCUUAACUUUCAUGCUCAUUAAAGUGAAAAUUAAUUAAGAAGACAUCUGAGGUGUUUUUUUUUUUGGAGACAAGGUGUCAUUUUGUCACCCAGGCUGGAGUGGUGGUGUGAUCACAUCCCACUGUAGCCUCGAACUCCUGGGCUCAAGUGAUCCUCCCACCUCAGCCUCCAGAACAGCUGGCACUACAGGCAUUACACCACCACACCAGGCUAUUUUUGUUGUUGUUUUUGGUAGAGAUGGGGUCUCCCUGUGUUGCCCAGGCUGGUCUCAAACUCCCAGGCUCAAGCAGUCCUCCCACCUUGACCUCCCAAAAUGCAGGAAUUACAGCCAUGAGCCACCACGCUUGGCCAACAUCUGAGUUAAAACUUUUUUUUUUUUUUUUGAGACAAGGUUUUGCUCAGUUGCUGAGGAUGGAGUGCAGUGGUGCAAACACGGCUAACUGCAGCUUCAAACUCCUGGGCUCAAGCAAUCAUCCCGCCUCACCCUCCCAAGUAGCUAGGACCACAGGCACGUGCUACUAUAUUUGGCUAAUUUUUAAAAUUUCUGUAGAGAUGGG
This 1208-nucleotide long non-coding RNA is filed under the name Homo sapiens (human). RNAcentral's name for it is "HSALNT0349315". The record is from RNAcentral. Lineage: Eukaryota; Metazoa; Chordata; Mammalia; Primates; Hominidae.